UUGGAGGGCAAGUCUGGUGCCAGCAGCCGCGGUAAUUCCAGCUCCAAUAGCGUAUAUUAAAGUUGUUGCAGUUAAAAAGCUCGUAGUUGAAUUUCGGGAUCAAAUUGUCGGUCGUGCCUCGGUACGAACUGGUAUUAUUGGUUCCUACCUUCUGAAGAACCGCGAUGUCAUUAAUUUGGUGUCGUGGGGAAUCAGGACUGUUACUUUGAAAAAAUUAGAGUGUUUAAAGCAGGCUUACGCUUGAAUACAUUAGCAUGGAAUAAUGAAAUAGGACGUUUGAUUCUAUUUUGUUGGUUUCUAGGAUUGACGUAAUGAUUAAUAGGGAUAGUUGGGGGCAUUAGUAUUCAAUUGUCAGAGGUGAAAUUCUUGGAUUUAUUGAAGACUAACUACUGCGAAAGCAUUUGCCAAGGAUGUUUUCAUUAAUCAAGAACGAAAGUUAGGGGAUCGAAGACGAUCAGAUACCGUCGUAGUCUUAACCAUAAACUAUGCCGACUAGGGAUCGGAUGAUGUUAAUUUUUUAAUGACCCAUUCGGCGCCUUACGGGAAACCAAAGUGUUUGGGUUC
RNAcentral lists this ribosomal RNA (564 nucleotides) under uncultured Glomeromycotina. Its description in RNAcentral is "SSU rRNA". It matches the Rfam family "Eukaryotic small subunit ribosomal RNA", at positions 548 to 1114 of the family's 1831-position model. Lineage: Eukaryota; Fungi; Glomeromycota. The record is from RNAcentral.